Pteropus vampyrus (large flying fox) is the source of this 81-nucleotide small nucleolar RNA. NCBI's taxonomy places the organism in Eukaryota, Metazoa, Chordata, Mammalia, Chiroptera, Pteropodidae. The record is from Ensembl.
GUGCAGAUGCAAAAACAAAGGGUCCUCACGCUUUCUUUCAGUCUGACUGUGGCAGCCAAGAUUAAAUGAGGGAAUACAGUG